Molecule: transfer RNA, 68 nt
Filed under: Metopsia clypeata
Lineage: Eukaryota; Metazoa; Arthropoda; Insecta; Coleoptera; Staphylinidae
Description: tRNA-Asp
Source: RNAcentral
AAAAAUUUAGUUAAAUUAUAACAUUAGUUUGUCAUACUAAAAUUAUUAGAUUAUACUAAUAAUUUUUA